ACUGACAUCGGGAGGCACCAAGAGCAGUGCCUCCCACACACAUUAAGACGUGUUUAUACAUAGUAAAUUUAUAUAAAUGCUAAAGGAUUAACUAUUAAAAUAAUACUAAGAAGAUAUUCUGUGUCAUAAGUAUCUUCUUAGUAUUAUUUUAAUCAUUAUGACAGGGGAGGCACUGCCUCCCCUGCCUCCCCUGACUGCACGUCCCUGGGGUUCCCCAUGAUCCCCGGUGGGCCAGUCCAAGCAUGGCGGAUGGGGGCACGGGGGAGGGCACCCGCUUCUUACCUUACUUGAUCUUGAAGCAGGUCCCUCCUCUCCAGUCAGCGCCAUCCAGUGAUAUUUGGGAAGAUGACGCUGGUCUCUAGAGAGCAAAGACUCUGGCACAGUGAUAUUACCAUGAAGAUGGAGGCACCGUCGACAGGCCACAGCACAGGAUAACAACAAUAAUAAUCAUUACAGAAGAAGAGAGAGAAGGUCAAAGCUAGUGAUAAGGCAACAUAAUGUAAUAUGUACAAUUACCACCAACAUUUGUCCAGACAUCUGAUGUAUAGAUUUAUCAUCGAGCAAUAGGAAGCAGAUUGUUACUUCUAUAUACGAGUAUCGUAUGAUGAUAAUAAAGUAUCAACCAACAA
Molecule: long non-coding RNA, 629 nt
Organism: Pseudophryne corroboree (corroboree frog)
Lineage: Eukaryota; Metazoa; Chordata; Amphibia; Anura; Myobatrachidae
Exons: 2
Source: RefSeq, a predicted model, not a curated record